This 1040-nucleotide ribosomal RNA is filed under the name uncultured bacterium. Its description in RNAcentral is "partial 16S ribosomal RNA". It matches the Rfam family "Bacterial small subunit ribosomal RNA", at positions 474 to 1500 of the family's 1533-position model. The record is from RNAcentral.
GGUACCUUCAAAGGAARGCMCCCGGCYAUACUUCCGUGCCAGCAGCSSCSGUAAUACGUARGGRUGCCAAGCGUWAUYSGGAAUUWCUGGSCGUAAAGCGUGCGCMAGSCGGUUAUGCMAAGACAGAUGUGAAAUCCCCCGGGCUCAACCYYMGRAACUGCAUUUGUKGACUGCAUWGYUAGAGUWCGGKUAGAGGGGGGAUGGAAUUUCCGCGYGUAGCAGUGAAAUGCGUAGAUAUGCGGGRGGAACACCGAUGGCGAAGGCAAUCCCCYGGACCUGUACUGACGCUCAUGCACGRAAGCGUGGGGAGCAAACAGGAUUAGAUACCCCUGGUAGUCCACGCCCUAAACGAUGUCAACUGGUUGUUKGGACGGCUUGCUGUUCAGUAACGAAAGCUAACGCGUGAAGUUGACCCGCCUGGGGAGUACGGCCGCAAGGUUGAAACUCAAAGGAAUUGACGGGGACCCGCMCAAGCGGUGGAUGAUGUGGUUUAAUUCGAUGCAACGCGAAAAACCUUACCUACCCUUGACAUGUCAAGAAUCUUGCAGAGAUGUGAGAGUGCUCGAAAGAGAACUUGAACACAGGUGCUGCAUGGCCGUCGUCAGCUCGUGUCGUGAGAUGUUGGGUUAAGUCCCSCAACGAGCGCAACCCUUGUCAUUAGUUGCUACGAAAGGGCACUCUAAUGAGACUGCCGGUGACAAACCGGAGGAAGGUGGGGAUGACGUCAGGUCCUCAUGGCCCUUAUGGGUAGGGCUACACACGUCAUACAAUGGCCGGUACAGAGGGUUGCCAACCCGCGAGGGGGAGCUAAUCCCAGAAAACCGGUCGUAGUCCGGAUCGCAGUCUGCAACUCGACUGCGUGAAGUCGGAAUCGCUAGUAAUCGCGGAUCAGCUUGCCGCGGUGAAUACGUUCCCGGGUCUUGUACACACCGCCCGUCACACCAUGGGAGCGGGUUCUGCCAGAAGUAGUUAGCCUAACCGCAAGGGGGGSGAUUACCACGSCAGGGUUCGUGACUGGGGUGAKGUSGUAACAAGGUAGC